ACUUCGGUUCUGGCGGCGAGUGGCGAACGGGUGAGUAAUAUAUCGGAACGUGCCCAGUAGCGGGGGAUAACUACGCGAAAGCGUGGCUAAUACCGCAUACGCCCUACGGGGGAAAGGGGGGGAUCGCAAGACCUCUCACUAUUGGAGCGGCCGAUAUCAGAUUAGCUAGUUGGUGAGGUAAAGGCUCACCAAGGCCGCGAUCUGUAGCUGGUUUGAGAGGACGACCAGCCACACUGGGACUGAGACACGGCCCAGACUCCUACGGGAGGCAGCAGUGGGGAAUUUUGGACAAUGGGGGAAACCCUGAUCCAGCCAUCCCGCGUGUGCGAUGAAGGCCUUCGGGUUGUAAAGCACUUUUGGCAGGGAAGAAACGGCACCGGCUAAUACCGGGUGUCACUGACGGUACCUGCAGAAUAAGCACCGGCUAACUACGUGCCAGCAGCCGCGGUAAUACGUAGGGUGCAAGCGUUAAUCGGAAUUACUGGGCGUAAAGCGUGCGCAGGCGGUUCGGAAAGAAAGAUGUGAAAUCCCAGAGCUUAACUUUGGAACUGCAUUUUUAACUGCCGAGCUAGAGUAUGUCAGAGGGGGGUAGAAUUCCACGUGUAGCAGUGAAAUGCGUAGAGAUGUGGAGGAAUACCGAUGGCGAAGGCAGCCCCCUGGGAUAAUACUGACGCUCAUGCACGAAAGCGUGGGGAGCAAACAGGAUUAGAUACCCUGGUAGUCCACGCCCUAAACGAUGUCAACUAGCUGUUGGGGCCUUCGGGCCUUAGUAGCGCAGCUAACGCGUGAAGUUGACCGCCUGGGGAGUACGGUCGCAAGAUUAAAACUCAAAGGAAUUGACGGGGACCCGCACAAGCGGUGGAUGAUGUGGAUUAAUUCGAUGCAACGCGAAAAACCUUACCUACCCUUGACAUGUCUGGAAUUCCUAAGAGAUUGGGAAGUGCUCGCAAGAGAACCGGAACACAGGUGCUGC
Molecule: ribosomal RNA, 973 nt
Filed under: Alcaligenaceae bacterium
Lineage: Bacteria; Pseudomonadati; Pseudomonadota; Betaproteobacteria; Burkholderiales; Alcaligenaceae
Description: bacterial SSU rRNA
Rfam family: Bacterial small subunit ribosomal RNA
Source: RNAcentral